Long non-coding RNA from Melozone crissalis (California towhee), 797 nucleotides. RefSeq lists it as uncharacterized. Lineage: Eukaryota; Metazoa; Chordata; Aves; Passeriformes; Passerellidae. The record is from RefSeq and is a predicted model, not a curated record. The transcript is spliced from 3 exons.
CUCACUCUCCCUCUUUCUCUUCCCCUCUCUUUCUCUCCUUGUCUUUUUGUCUCUUUAUGUCUAUUGCAUUAUGCCUGAAUAAUUUUCAGUCUUUUUUUUCCUCUCCUCUUGCACGCACAUGCUAAAAUAACUAGACAAAGAUGCAAGGUGGUUGCUGCAGUCCCUGUCUCUAGGACAAAACCAAGAAAGCUUGUGAUUGCAAUGCCACCUUUCCUUUUUUUUUUUCCUCUUCUUUUUUUCUUCCCCAGCCAUGCUUGGUGAUUAAACUUCCUCAGGAUGGGGAAGAAAAAGGAGCUGAAAAUGAAAUAGGGCUGAGGAAAAAUCCCAUUGCAGCAGCUGCAGCCAGUGGUGUCUGCUGCCAGAUGUGCGAAGGUUCCUGGGGUCCUUGUCACUAAAAGGCAGUAUUCAAAUAUUUGGAGACAAAAGCUGCAUCCUCAGUGAUCAUUUUCUUUAUUUAACAUGGCAGCAGGCAUCGUGUGGGGAAAAAUCAACAUGCUGGAUGUUGAAUCGGACUUUUCUCCUUUCUGGGAUGAAAGGAUGUUAUCUAUCCCAUGCCAAGAGGGAACUGAGGUACUGGUCUCUUAGCCUGUAAGGCUUGUGCAUGAUGUCUAUGAGAGCAAUUUCCAGCAGAGCGAAGCCUUAUCACAGAUUCACCUAAAAGGUGGAUAGGAGUCAUGGAUGUGAAAGAAGACAUUAACCAGGCUGUUGUGAAAGAUCUGAUGCCAGCUUUGGUCAAAGGGGACGAGUGUCAUCCUGGGAGUGCUCGUCCCUGGGACAGGAAGCCGGCGCAGCGAAGC